GUCGAGCGGAGAUGAGGUGCUUGCACCUUAUCUUAGCGGCGGACGGGUGAGUAAUGCUUAGGAAUCUGCCUAUUAGUGGGGGACAACAUUCCGAAAGGAAUGCUAAUACCGCAUACGUCCUACGGGAGAAAGCAGGGGAUCUUCGGACCUUGCGCUAAUAGAUGAGCCUAAGUCGGAUUAGCUAGUUGGUGGGGUAAAGGCCUACCAAGGCGACGAUCUGUAGCGGGUCUGAGAGGAUGAUCCGCCACACUGGGACUGAGACACGGCCCAGACUCCUACGGGAGGCAGCAGUGGGGAAUAUUGGACAAUGGGGGGAACCCUGAUCCAGCCAUGCCGCGUGUGUGAAGAAGGCCUUAUGGUUGUAAAGCACUUUAAGCGAGGAGGAGGCUACUGAGACUAAUACUCUUGGAUAGUGGACGUUACUCGCAGAAUAAGCACCGGCUAACUCUGUGCCAGCAGCCGCGGUAAUACAGAGGGUGCGAGCGUUAAUCGGAUUUACUGGGCGUAAAGCGUGCGUAGGCGGCUUUUUAAGUCGGAUGUGAAAUCCCCGAGCUUAACUUGGGAAUUGCAUUCGAUACUGGGAAGCUAGAGUAUGGGAGAGGAUGGUAGAAUUCCAGGUGUAGCGGUG
Molecule: ribosomal RNA, 628 nt
Filed under: uncultured bacterium
Lineage: Bacteria
Description: bacterial SSU rRNA
Rfam family: Bacterial small subunit ribosomal RNA
Source: RNAcentral